Molecule: ribosomal RNA, 470 nt
Filed under: uncultured bacterium
Lineage: Bacteria
Description: bacterial SSU rRNA
Rfam family: Bacterial small subunit ribosomal RNA
Source: RNAcentral
GGCUCAGGACGAACGCUGGCGGCGUGCCUAACACAUGCAAGUCGAGCGAAUGAAGUUCCUUCGGGAACGGAUUUAGCGGCGGACGGGUGAGUAACACGUGGGCAACCUGCCUCAUAGAGGGGAAUAGCCUUCCGAAAGGGAGAUUAAUACCGCAUAAGAUUAUAGUACCGCAUGGUACAGCAAUUAAAGGAGCAAUCCGCUAUGAGAUGGGCCCGCGGCGCAUUAGCUAGUUGGUGAGGUAACGGCUCACCAAGGCGACGAUGCGUAGCCGACCUGAGAGGGUGAUCGGCCACAUUGGGACUGAGACACGGCCCAGACUCCUACGGGAGGCAGCAGUGGGGAAUAUUGCACAAUGGGGAAACCCUGAUGCAGCAACGCCGCGUGAGUGAUGACGGCCUUCGGGUUGUAAAGCUCUGUCUUCAGGGACGAUAAUGACGGUACCUGAGGAGGAAGCCACGGCUAACUACGUG